GACCCCGUAGCUCAGCUGGAUAGAGCAACAGCCUUCUAAGCUGUGGGUCGCAGGUUCGAAUCCUGCCGGGGUCGCCA
Molecule: transfer RNA, 77 nt
Filed under: Alphaproteobacteria bacterium
Lineage: Bacteria; Pseudomonadati; Pseudomonadota; Alphaproteobacteria
Also listed under: 3 other names
Description: tRNA-Arg
Rfam family: tRNA
About the family: Transfer RNA (tRNA) molecules are approximately 80 nucleotides in length. Their secondary structure includes four short double-helical elements and three loops (D, anti-codon, and T loops).
Source: RNAcentral